This 790-nucleotide non-coding RNA is filed under the name Notostomus gibbosus. Its description in RNAcentral is "12S ribosomal RNA". The stretch from base 377 to 783 matches the Rfam family "Microsporidia small subunit ribosomal RNA", at positions 752 to 1303 of the family's 1311-position model. Lineage: Eukaryota; Metazoa; Arthropoda; Malacostraca; Decapoda; Oplophoridae. The record is from RNAcentral.
GAAAAGUUUUAUCCUUGCUUGGUUUUUACUGUUUAAUUGGUGUACAUGUAAGGUAAAUCUAGGUACGUUGUAGUGCGCUUUUAUGUCCUCAGUACAAGGUAUUAGUCAAUAAGUGAGAGCUUGAACUAGUAAUUUAAUAGAGUCCAGGCUAAACUUGUGCCAGCAGCCGCGGUUAGACUGAUGGGACGGGUAAUAGGGUUUAAGUUGGACAAUUAAGAGGUGCUUACAAAAAUCAAGCACUUACGAGAGUAAAGGGUGAAAUCUAGUGGUUCAUGGUGAGGGCUUGGGAAUUUAAGUUGGGCUGAAGUUGUGAAGGUUAAGAUCUAAAUCAGGAUUAGAUACCCUGUUAUACUUAAUUGAAAUUUUAAUUAGGCUUGAGUAGUAAUCAGUUAUGUUCUUGAAACUUAAAGGAUUUGGCGGUAUUUUAGUCUAGUUAGAGGAACCUGUUUUAUAAACGAUAAACCACGAAUUAUCUUACUUCUUUUGGUAAAAUCAGUUUGUAUACCGUCAUUGUCAGAUAACCCUUAUAAGGAGUUAUUAAAAUAAAUAUUUAUUAAUAUAUUAGAUCAAGGUGCAGCCGAUGGAGGAGUCAAUAAUGGGUUACAUUGUUUUAAAGCAUACGAAAAGAGAUUAGAAAUGAGCUUUGGAAGGUGGAUUUAAUAGUAAUUAUGUUUUAAUAAGGGAUAAUGAUACUAGCUCUAAGAUAUGUACACAUCGCCCGUCGCUCUCACUCUUAAUGUGAGAUAAGUCGUAACACAGUAGGAGUGUUGGAAAGCGUUCCUAGAAUUUU